AAUAUAAGCCACAAAGUUCUAUCUUAUCUGUACCAUUAGAACUUUUCUCUACGAUUUUAUUGAGUAACCAGCCCUAAGUCGCAACUCCGAUUCUUCCAUCAUUUUCUUCAUUCUUGUCCAACGUGAAUGUUACUGGUCGAGGCGGAGACAUAACCCGCAGCAAUCCGAACCACGCCCACAAGAACCUGAACAAUCUGGACCCAAAAACUCAUCUUCUUCAGUAGGGAAGAGGUGUCUGAUUCGUUACCCAAAGCCCCAAUUCUCGAUCUGGGUCCAAACCCAAAAUUUAGUGAUCUCCCUUCGAACAUUUUGUCUGUGUUAUCCGUUUCCGGCGUCGGCCGCGGAAAAACCACGAAUCCAGUAGAUUCCGGUGGAUUCCGGCGAGGAUGUGAAGGAAGAAAACCGGCAUUUAUGAGCCCGGCCAAAUUGCAGGACUCAUCUGAUGUUCUGAUGUGAUUUUUGAUGCUAGAGCUGGGCAGAGGAGUUAAAGAAAAGAUUAUAUCUAACUUGGAGAGAGAUAAUUCAUAUGGGGGAUUCCCAAGGAUGAUGAUGAUGGUGUAGAUUCGUUAUCAAUAUCUAUCCAGGACUUGGGAUAUCAAUCAAGAAUUGACAUGGCUAGGACUUGGUUCUAGUACGGGAGAAUGUCCUCUUACACUAUAGUGCGAACUUGGGGAAAGGUACCCAUGGGAUAGUAGCCCUAAAGUGAUCUCAAGAGUACUUGGAGCAAGGAGGAGCAAAGCAAAGGAACCUCAAAGAAAGCAAGCAAACAAAGCAAAAUAAAAUAAAAAAUAAAAAUAAAAAUAAAAAUUGCAAAAGCAAAGCAAAACAAAAAGCUUAAAAAUUUCUUGAAGUUGCUUAAGGACCCUUUAUGCAGCAUAAGUAAAAGACCCGAAAGCACUUAGCCAGAGCCAACACAACCUCCUUCAUCUCUAGCGGAGGAGUUAUCAUCUUUGUCUAAGGCUACUGCAUCUACAUCUUUAGAGCCAUCUUUCAUGGAGGCACAAGGUCUCAUUAUCAAAGAAGUACCUUCUCUCUUUUUCUCCGGCAGGAAAUUGGAGCCAGAAUUCAAAUUUGACCGAGAUUUAUUUAUCGGGUUGGAGUAAACACAGUGGUCUUAUAAUGAGCUCACCCGUAGGGGCAUCGAUGCUAUUAUGACUCCGGCAGACACUGUAAUCUAUCCCUGAUUGGUUGCUUUGUUUUUCGAGCACCACUAGAUGGACGAGGAUGACCGUUAGUUGAUGCAUACGACUAUAGAUGGACACGACAUUAACAUCUCUAUCCUUGCCAUAGCUACUGUCUGUCAAUUGAUGAGCGCUAAAUAUUGCAUAUUCGAGCCUGAUGAGCGCUGAAAAGUCAAUAAAGUUAAAACGGGCUAAAAAUGGCUUCUUAAGGCCUUUUUGGAGUCAAACUAAGUCUUGGUGAGAAUCUGAGGCAAAAUUGAGGCUGAUGCUGAAAAUUGCCAAGUGAGAUCUAUCGCAGAAAAGUGAGAUCGAUCAUAGAAAAGUGAGAUCGAUUAAACCCAGAUCGAUCGAAGAAAAGUGAGAUCGAUCGAAUCCAGAUCGAUUGAAGAAAAGUGAGAUCGGUUGAACUGUUCGCGGAAGUAAUUAAAAAGCAGAUCAAAAGCUCAUUUCGACCCAACUCGGGCUGUGCUUGAAAGGGGAGAUUCUAGGGUCGAGUUCUCACAUUUUUGGGCUCUCAAAGCCUUGUAUAUAUGAGAGAUUGAACCAUUUUUGUAGGGAAAUUCAUAUAUUUCAUUGUAAUUUCUAUAUUUUCGUUACUUUCUCUCUUUAGAAAGUUAGAGAUUAGGGUUAGAAGAAAAGAAGGAAGUGGAGGCACAUCUCAAGAACCCAUCUCUAGAUCCACACACACUCUCUCUCUAGAGCUUCAAAGAAGAAGAUGGAGCCAUGUUUGGAGCUUGCCCUUAAGGGUUCCAAGAUCACACCCACCUCCUCCAUGAUUGGCUAGACUUCUCAUUGGGACUUGGAUAAGCCCCAAGUUUGUAAUCUAAACCUCUAUCUUUUUCUUACUUUUUGGGGAAUAAUAUCUUGUGAUUUGUGUUCAUGAAUCUUGGUGUAUUUCUAUGAUUUCUAUGGUUUAAUUUUUCCUAUUAA
This is a long non-coding RNA of Cornus florida, 2111 nucleotides long. RefSeq lists it as uncharacterized. The transcript has 7 exons. The record is from RefSeq and is a predicted model, not a curated record. Lineage: Eukaryota; Viridiplantae; Streptophyta; Magnoliopsida; Cornales; Cornaceae.